Molecule: ribosomal RNA, 253 nt
Filed under: uncultured bacterium
Lineage: Bacteria
Description: partial 16S ribosomal RNA
Rfam family: Bacterial small subunit ribosomal RNA
Source: RNAcentral
UACGUAGGGUGCAAGCGUUGUCCGGAAUUAUUGGGCGUAAAGAGCUCGUAGGCGGUCUGUCGCGUCGGCUGCGAAAACCCGAGGCUCAACCUCGGGCCUGCAGUCGAUACGGGCAAACUAGAGUACUGCAGGGGAGACUGGAAUUCCUGGUGUAGCGGUGAAAUGCGCAGAUAUCAGGAGGAACACCGGUGGCGAAGGCGGGUCUCUGGGCAGUAACUGACGCUGAUGCGCGAAAGCUAGGGGAGCAAACAGG